This is a long non-coding RNA of Hippocampus zosterae (dwarf seahorse), 627 nucleotides long. RefSeq lists it as uncharacterized. The transcript has 3 exons. The record is from RefSeq and is a predicted model, not a curated record. Lineage: Eukaryota; Metazoa; Chordata; Actinopteri; Syngnathiformes; Syngnathidae.
AGCAUUUCCAUCUGGAUUCGCUUCUUCUCCUGGAUUUGGGCGUCACGUAUGGCUUGGCACUGAGCACCAAGAAUCACCUGAGAAACCCGCAGGCAUGGAGUUCAUCGUUGACUAUUACUCGUAAGAGCAUGUGCUCGCUCCAGCAGAUGCUGCGUUCGCUCGUGGGCCUCCAUCUCCACCUCACUCAGAGUCCGCUUCUCUUGACGGCACACGUCGGCCUCCAACAUCUGCCGCUUCAUUUCCUCGGCCGCCUGCUAUGAACAAGGACACAACUGGAAAUUGCGGUUUCAAGUAAAGUUACAAAAUGGACCCUUUUGGUAUAUUUGCUACCAUUUCUUUCUCUUUCCUACUCUUGUGCGCCUCCUUUAAGGCCUUGUUCUCAUCCUUGGAGAGAAUAUUGGAUCUGGCGGUGAUCCGCUCAAAGUCGGCGAAUGGCAGAAUGAUGGACUGUCCAGAAGGAUCACUGCAUGGAACCCUGGCCACACAAAUGACAUUCUCUCAAAACUUUUCGAUACCCUUAUCCUCACUGUCGUCGCAGGCUUUCAUCCACCUGAGAGGAGGGGGCUCGUGUGCGGUAGCGAUGUUGUCUUCUCAAAUUUGAAGUGGAAGAGCUCUCGCUCUGAAAGG